CCUACGGGUGGCAGCAGUGGGGAAUAUUGCACAAUGGGGGGAACCCUGAUGCAGCGACGCCGCGUGAAGGAAGAAGUAUUUCGGUAUGUAAACUUCUAUCAGCAGGGAAGAAAAUGACGGUACCUGACUAAGAAGCCCCGGCUAACUACGUGCCAGCAGCCGCGGUAUACGUAGGGGGCAAGCGUUAUCCGGAUUUACUGGGUGUAAAGGGAGCGUAGGCGGGAAAGCAAGUCAGAUGUGAAAACCAUGGGCUCAACCUGUGGCCUGCAUUUGAAACUGUUUUUCUUGAGUACUGGAGAGGCAGACGGAAUUCCUAGUGUAGCGGUGAAAUGCGUAGAUAUUAGGAGGAACACCAGUGGCGAAGGCGGUCUGCUGGACAGCAACUGACGCUGAGGCGCGAAAGCGUGGGGAGCAAACAGGAUUAGAUACCCGUGUAGUC
RNAcentral lists this ribosomal RNA (439 nucleotides) under uncultured bacterium. RNAcentral describes it as "partial 16S ribosomal RNA". It matches the Rfam family "Bacterial small subunit ribosomal RNA", at positions 338 to 795 of the family's 1533-position model. The record is from RNAcentral.